This 492-nucleotide ribosomal RNA is filed under the name uncultured bacterium. Its description in RNAcentral is "partial 16S ribosomal RNA". It matches the Rfam family "Bacterial small subunit ribosomal RNA", at positions 29 to 507 of the family's 1533-position model. The record is from RNAcentral.
AGUGAACGCUGGCGGUAGGCCUAACACAUGCAAGUCGAACGGCAGCACAGUAAGAGCUUGCUCUUACGGGUGGCGAGUGGCGGACGGGUGAGGAAUACAUCGGAAUCUACUUUUUCGUGGGGGUUAACGUAGGGAAACUUACGCUAAUACCGCAUACGACCUACGGUUGAAAGCAGGGGAUCUUCGCACCUUGCGCGAUUGAAUGAGCCGAUGUCGGAUUAGCUAGUUGGCGGGGUAAAGGCCCACCAAGGCGACGAUCCGUAGCUGGUCUGAGAGGAUGAUCAGCCACACUGGAACUGAGACACGGUCCAGACUCCUACGGGAGGCAGCAGUGGGGAAUAUUGGACAAUGGGCGCAAGCCUGAUCCAGCCAUACCGCGUGGGUGAAGAAGGCCUUCGGGUUGUAAAGCCCUUUUGUUGGGAAAGAAAAGCAGCAGGUUAAUACCCCGCUGUUCUGACGGUACCCAAAGAAUAAGCACCGGCUAACUUCGUG